This 258-nucleotide long non-coding RNA is filed under the name Lathyrus oleraceus (garden pea). RNAcentral's name for it is "Pisum sativum (pea) long non-coding RNA (PSAT_LNC012413)". The record is from RNAcentral. Lineage: Eukaryota; Viridiplantae; Streptophyta; Magnoliopsida; Fabales; Fabaceae.
GAUUUUGUUUGAAGGUGGGUUGUACUAUAGAAAAGCAAUGUGUAAGAGGAUUUUAAGUUUGAAAAUAAAGGUUUUGUAAUGGUAAAAAUUAGUGUAGUAAUGAAUGAGUGUUAAUUGUGUAAUGGUUUAUACUAGGUGGAGAAAAUAAAUAAGAUGGAAAUUGGUGUAGGUUUUUUUUUGGAAAAAUUGGUAUAAGUUUUUUUUUGUGUGGAGAAAUUGGAUAAUGAGUGGAUAAUAUGUACAGUGUGUGUGGGAAAU